RNAcentral lists this small RNA (3114 nucleotides) under Pan troglodytes (chimpanzee). Its description in RNAcentral is "retained intron". The record is from RNAcentral. Lineage: Eukaryota; Metazoa; Chordata; Mammalia; Primates; Hominidae.
CAGAGGGAUUGGCAAGCUUGCGUGCCCCAGCGACACAGGCCUCGAGGCUGUCUCUGACAAGUGUUCACAGGAGGUGGGGACGCCUCUGCGCGAGGAACGAGGAGCUACGGGCCUGGGCCCGGUUAUUGCCAUGGGCAGCGGCUGCCGCAUCGAAUGCAUAUUCUUCAGCGAGUUCCACCCCACGCUGGGACCCAAGAUCACCUAUCAGGUGCCACCCGGGCUCGCGGGACUGGGCGGGGAGAGGGACGUUCUCGAGAGCUCAACUGGCUGCCUGAAGGCAGUAGUUUCCCGUGCUGCACGCAGGCAUGCUACUUCAUUCGCAGACAACUGUGAGGCUAGAGGAUAGUCAGACCCAGGCCCCCGGCUCCCAAUGUGGCAGGGAAGACAUACGUCACAUUGGCAGUGUUUGUAGGAUAUCGGGCUGUAGGGAUCCGGUUGGGGGGUUCCAGGUCCCACAGAAGGUGAGUUGGGUGACCCAUGAGUAUCCCUGAACUGAGUGAAGAGUAAAUGAUGCAUAGGAAGUUUAGAUAAGGCAGGAGAAAGUGUUCCAGGUAGAGGGAACAGCAUAUGCAGAAGCCAGGAAGGAGGUGAGAUCAUAGCGUAUGUUUGGAAACAGAAAGAAGUAAUAGGCCUGAGUGGAUGGGAGAGAGGGGAACGCUGGAGAAGAGGACUUGGGCUUGGGGGGCAUGAGGAGGUCACCAUUUGUACUACACACAGUACAGAUGUCCACUGACGGGCCCAUUGCCACUCCCCUCCCCAGGUCCCUGAAGACUUCAUCUCCCGAGAGCUGUUUGACACAGUCCAAGUGUAUAUCAUCACCAAGCCAGAGCUGCAAAACAAGCUUAUCACUGUCACAGCUAUGGAAAAGAAGCUGAUCGGCUGUCCUGUGUGCAUCGAACACAAGAAGUACAGCCGCAAUGCUCUCCUCUUCAACCUGGGCUUCGUGUGUGAUGCCCAGGCCAAGACCUGCGCCCUCGAGCCCAUUGUUAAAAAGCUGGCUGGCUAUCUGACCACACUAGAGGUCUGCAAUGAGAUGGGCUUGGGUUUACCAACAGGCAGAGUUGGGGAAGGUGUUCCCAUGUCUCCAAAGUCCCCCAAACCUGGGACCCUGCAAACCAGCUCAGGACUCAGGGCAGCCAACCAGCCAGGGGUCCUGGGAUGUGCCCACCAUGCUUUCCAUGCUCUGUCUAGCUAGAGAGCAGCUUCGUGUCCACGGAGGAGAGCAAGCAGAAGUUGGUGCCCAUCAUGACCAUCUUGCUGGAGGAGCUAAAUGCCUCAGGCCGGUGCACUCUGCCCAUUGGUAUGGCCAGCCUCUGCAAGGACAGCAGAGGGGUAGAGGAGAGAUGGGAAAGUGAGCCCAGCUAGUCAGGGAGAAGGACAAGACUCAUGAACACAUUGGUGGGCAGGAAAUAGCCAUGGGCUGAGGUGCCCAUGUCCAGGGUCCAAUGCAUGAUGGAGCUGGGACUGGGGGUAGGGGGAAAGCAGAGCUCUCCAGCUCUGCCCCUUGGGCAAUUCCUUCCCCUUUGUGGGCCUCCGUUUCUCACUCCAUAAAAAGAGAAAGAUUAGCCCUACCCAGAGGCACCUGCUUGCCCCAAGGGAUGCUGGGAGGCCUGGAUGGUAAUUGAGGACCUCUUGGAAGAAGUGGCACUGAGGAUAUGGAUGGGGCCCCCUGCAGAUGAGUCCAACACCAUCCACUUGAAGGUGAUUGAGCAGCGGCCAGACCCUCCGGUGGCCCAGGAGUAUGAUGUACCUGUCUUUACCAAAGACAAGGAGGAUUUCUUCAACUCACAGUGGGACCUCACUACACAACAAGUAUGCCAUCCCUCCCUGGGUAUCAUCACCUGGGGCUGGCCACAGCCCUGGCCUCAUCCUGUUUCUUCUGACCUUGUCCCACUCUGCCCAGAUCCUGCCCUACAUUGAUGGGUUCCGCCACAUCCAGAAGAUUUCAGCAGAGGCAGAUGUGGAGCUCAACCUGGUGCGCAUUGCUAUCCAGAACCUGCUGUGAGUGGGCCUACAGUCAUACCUGGGACAAGGUCACCAGCCAGGGAAGACGUCAGGGGCCCUGGGUGUGAGGGUUGGGAAGGCAUGGUCCUCAGAAGCUGAGCACAGCUCUCUCUCUCAGGUACUACGGCGUUGUGACACUGGUGUCCAUCCUCCAGGUAGGUGAGUUGGGUUUGGUUAAGUGGAGAGUGGAUCAUGUGGCUGGACCAGACCAGGGCUGUGUCAGCUUCCCAAGCCCCUCACUCAGGCCCCUAUGCCUUCUGCUAUCCUCUAGUACUCCAAUGUAUACUGCCCAACGCCCAAGGUCCAGGACCUGGUAGAUGACAAGUCCCUGCAGGAGGCAUGUCUAUCCUACGUGACCAAGCAAGGUAGUGGUGGGUUCUGGGGGAAGCCAUCUUGGGGAGGGCAGGGCCACAUGAUGAGCUGAUCCCUGGCACCCACAGGGCACAAGAGGGCCAGUCUCCGGGAUGUGUUCCAGCUAUACUGCAGCCUGAGCCCUGGCACUACCGUGCGAGACCUCAUUGGCCGCCACCCCCAGCAGCUGCAGCAUGUUGAUGAACGGUCAGAGGAGAAUUUGCUGGGGCAUUUGGGAGUUACCUGUGGGAAGCUAGACCCUUUAUGUCUCUCAGGAGCCCUGGAUCAUGGGGCACUGCCAAUCCAAGCAGGCUUCCUGGAGAUGAUGGGCUACAGAGACAAAAUUGAAGGGAGACUACAGGAAAGGGUUGGCCUGCCUGAAAGAAGGCCUGGCCAGGGCGUCACCCCUGUCCUCUGAUCCUCACCCUAGGAAGCUGAUCCAGUUCGGGCUUAUGAAGAACCUCAUCAGGCGACUACAGAAGUAUCCUGUGCGGGUGACUCGGGAAGAGCAGAGCCACCCUGCCCGGCUUUAUACAGGCUGCCACAGCUAUGACGAGAUCUGCUGCAAGACAGGCAUGAGCUACCAUGAGCUGGAUGAGCGGCUUGAAAAUGACCCCAACAUCAUCAUCUGCUGGAAGUGAGGCUGGUAGUGACUGGAUGGACACAUUGCUGUGGGUAGUCCCUCCUACUAGGAGGCUUGUCAUACUGUCUAGAGGUUGACUCUUAGUUCUGUAAAUAAAGACAUCCAUUUCAAACAGC